This is a long non-coding RNA of Poecile atricapillus (Black-capped chickadee), 4145 nucleotides long. RefSeq lists it as uncharacterized. NCBI's taxonomy places the organism in Eukaryota, Metazoa, Chordata, Aves, Passeriformes, Paridae. The transcript has 4 exons. The record is from RefSeq and is a predicted model, not a curated record.
AACAACCCAUGAGUAAAAGAGAGGCACGGAGAUGGGGCUCACUCCACACCUCCCUCUGGGACCAGCUUCAGCUGACAGUGAUAGGGGCAGGUCCCUGAGGACAGAGAAGCUCUUAAGAAAUAGAAUUAUAGAAUGCCCUGAGCUGGAAGGGACCCACAAUGAUUUUCAAAGUCUAACUCUCCUACCAAGGAGGAGAUGGUAUCUCACCAGGAAAGCGCUUCUCACUGAGUUGGAGACAAACCAUAUUUAAGCCAAGCUCAAGGCAGUCAAAUGAGGACUGUGAAACACCUGCUGGGAUCCCCUCUGCCAAGACCACUUGCAGGUCCCAGUGGAAUGCUGCUCACACAAACUGGAGGUCACUUCUGCCCAUGUGGGGACCCAUCCUCUCCACAGGGCAAGGAAAGGACAAACAUUUUGUUGAUGCUCUGCGUUACAAGCCCAGCCUGCACCCGAUGUGCCCCAGCUGCUCCUGCAGGCCCUGUAGGCCCUGGGUCCUCUGGGAUGUAAGAUGUGUGAUGUGUGUUCAUCCUCUGGGAUGUAUGAUACCUGCAGGGCUUGAUGAUAAGAAACACCACCACAGCAGCUUGGGAAAGGCACCCCGCAGGCAUGGGGUGUUCCAGGGUGAAAGCAGACUGUGAGUCAGCUCAGAAAGUGGAGUCUGGAUGAGCAUCUUCAGGGUUGAUCCAGGAUUGCAUCACGGCAGUGGGAGAGGUCCACCCCCUGCCGGUGCUCAUGGAGGUCAGCCUGUGUGGGUAGGUGUCCAGCUGGACAGGUGAACUAGUGCUGGUGCCGCAGGGUGAUGCUUCUGCCUGCAGCACAGUAUCCUCAGCUCCCACCUCAGCUUCAGCAUCCUCCUCAAACCUUACCCUCCAGCCACAGAUCCAGCACAGCCCUGGGCCGAACCCACUCCCUGCUGUCAGUGUCCCCAGGCAGCUGAGGGGAGCAGCCAGUUCCCAGGGUACCCACAGAAUGUAGCUGUACUCUCCAGCUCCCCUGCCAGUCUCCCAAGAAGGACAAAAUGGCAGCAGCUGCUUCCUCAUCCCUUUUUGGGACAGGAGGUCCACAAGACAAACAGAAUCCUAGCCAGGCACGGGGUGCUGGCCAUGCCUCACCCCAGUGAAAGCUGGGAGCCUGAUGCAAGCACGUGGGGAACUUGCUCUGCUGGCAACUUGCACCGUGUCUUUCGUCAGCCAAACGGUCGGUUCCAGGAGAGGAGGAGCAGGGCAGGUGAGAUGGGGCUGCAGGUGCUGGCUGCCUUCCCGAGCUGCUCAGCAGGAGCAUGGGCUGCCCUCCCAGUGUGGCCACUGCACUGAGCAGGGCUCCUCCUCUGCUGCAGACCUUCUGCAGGGACCAUGUCGUGCCUGCAGCCUUCGCUACUGGAGUCUGCACAUCGUCCUUUGUCCCCUUCUCCCUUGCAAGGGAACGUGCACUCUGCCAAACUGCUGGUGCCCUGUCACUGGACGUGUCCCUGCUGUCACAGUCUGUGAUGAAGCACUCUGCAUCCCCGGCCUGUCCCUGGCUGAAGGCUGUUCUCAGCCGCUGCUCAGCAGGGUGAGAGAUGGGGAGAGCAGGAGCAUUUUCCCAGUGAAAGCCACAGACAUCCAUAGUCUGCAUGCCUGGUUGCUAUGAAUGGGAUGAAGGGCUUGGUUCCCCCACUCACUGCCCAUUCCUGCAGUGAAACCCGGUGACGCAGCAGCGAUGCUCAGGUCAGACCCAGGGUACCAGCACAGAGAGCAGGCUGUUCCCAUUACUGCUACACAAGGAGCCUACCAGCUAUCCCACAGCUGGGACAGACCCAGGAAGGGGACAAGCACAGCCUGGCUCCCUUCACUCUGGUUGUUUCUCCCAGGCUUCCCCAGCCACAUCCCUGCUCCCCAUACCAGCAGCUGCUGGAAGCCCAGCAGCCCAAGCCUGCAGUCAGUGGCACCAGCUAUACCCAGUGUUCCAGGACAAACCCCAUCCUGCUAGGAUGCAGGGGAAUGAUUCCUGGGGCCACAGGCAGCUGUCCACCACAGGCAGUGGCAGAGAGCAUCCUGCUGCUGUAGGGAGGGGUCCCUCAUCCCAACUGGGAGCUUGGAGGAGCGCAGACCUUGGAUGUGGCUCAGGAACACGGUUCCCACGCGUUCAGCCCACGCAGGCAGCAGCACAUUGCUCCUGCCUGCAGGAAACCUGGGAACAUGGCUGCCCGGGCUGGCCCCCUGCAAGCAGAUGUUAUUUUAACUCCCAGUUCCUCUCUCACUUUUGCCAGGCAACGACUGGUUCUGCUGUUGGCUAAGCAAUAAAGAGCCCCUUUUUUUUUUUUCUCCUCCACUAUUUCUAGGUUAUUUUUAGGCUUUUGUCAGUGGGUCUUUUCUGCAGACACUCAAAGAGCUGGAGAAGUUCUCCUGUUUUGCAUGCCCAGAGGAAGGGGAGCAAGUGCAGGGCAGGAGGUGCCAGCAAGAAGGGCUUCCCAACCCCGAUGGGGAUGCACACGCCUUGGAGCACCCACUGCCCUGUGCAGCACACAGGAGCAAGCUCCUCUUCUCCUACCCAGCUGUGCUGUGCAGGACUUGGCCUUCCACAAGGGAGCUGUGAUGCCCACAUCUUCCCAACUGUGCCAGCAGCAGCCUUCACCUCUCCAGAGCCCAACCAAGGCAGCUCCUCCACGUGGUGCCAGCAGGGAGAUCCCUGUGCUGCUCCAGCUGCAGCCCAGGGCAAGGUGAGGUGCAGAGGCGUAGGGAGGGACUCCUGCAGAAGGGAAGUUAACGGGACAGGAUGUGGGCUUAGGGACCCAGAGAGGGUCACACACAGCUGCAGCAGUGCAGGAGCUGCCGGAUGGAGCCAACAGAGCUGAAGUCAGCCAGUGUCACAUUCAGGCUUGGCAUAGAGACCAGGCUCCAGGAGGGGGAGAGAAGAGUGUUAGGGACACAGUGCCUGCCAGCACUGUGGAGUACCAGUGCCAUGGCCAGAAUCCCCCCACUGAGAGUACUGAUGGGAGUGAUGCUGCCCUGUCCCCAAAAGAGAGGACAUGCUAUAGCACAUCCCAAACCCCUUGUCAUGUCAAUGCUCAGGAGAAGGACAGCUUUUUGGGGAAACCUGUGUUUCCACCAGGCAGGGACAUUCCAGUCUAAGGCUGGGAUCCCCUCUCGCAAAGGCUGUUUUGUCCCCGGGGACAAAAGUACUCUCCACUUCGGGCAGGAGAUGUUACUUUGAGCGGCCCUACAGCUUGUUGUCUCACGGAAGAUUGCAAAACCCAGAGCUUCGCUGCAGCUCUAAGAAGCUCAGAAAGAGACAGAACCUGCUGGAAGGCAGACGCCCACGUCGGCGCUGGGCCAGCUCGAACCUUCCAGGCUGUUUCGCAGCCCCGCAGCUGCUUGGCAAGGACACUGCUGACCCUCCCACGUCACAGCCCCGAGCAGCCGGGGCCAGCUGUGUCCAGGCGCUGGGCUGGGGCUGCUGUUUUUCUGCUUUAUCAGGAUCUUGCUGAGCUCGGCGGCUCCCUGCUCACAGCAAGGUGAGGUCAGAGCUCUUUCUGUGCGAGCGCCGAGCGAGCAGCACGGGCACCCAACAUCUCUGAUGGAUCCCCGGCCGGCACGCGAGAAAACAGCGGAUGGAAACAUGGAGCACGGAAUCCCUCCGUGGUGGAUCUGGCUAAGGGCAAGAUUGCGAGAACUGCCAUCAAAUUCAUGUUUUUUUCUGGGAUCAGCUAGGAAUUAAGCAUCUGAGGUGCUGCGUUUAAACCCGAACCUUUACACAUCCCUUCCCACUCCCCUCCGCCCCAGCAUUGUGCUGCACAAACCCCAAGUUUCUUUGGAAGCGUUAUUUUAAGGAUAAGAUUUAAAGGACUCCUUUCAUAAAGAAUUGUGCUAUUAGGUUAUUUUUCUUUUAAUUUCCACAAAGGUGUUUUUUGUGCCUUGAGGACUAGAUCGAGAAGAGCUUUGGAGAAUGCUGUGAAGGCAGCCUGACUGAUACUGCCGCUCGCACUCGGCUGCCAAGCCCGUUCCAUGGCUUCCCGGGCAAUUAGUGCUUACAACACACAUCCACACAGCCAGCACAACCACUCCAGCUUUCCAUGUGUCCUUGAUAACUUCCUGUGGUUUUUUAAGACUUUGGUAGUAAUGAAAUGACUGAUGAUAAUGACAAGCAUAAAGUCCCAGAGUGCAAGA